RNAcentral lists this long non-coding RNA (1854 nucleotides) under Triticum aestivum (bread wheat). Its description in RNAcentral is "long non-coding RNA (TAES_LNC010570)". Lineage: Eukaryota; Viridiplantae; Streptophyta; Magnoliopsida; Poales; Poaceae. The record is from RNAcentral.
GGCCCGCUUCGAUUUCGAUUUCUUGUUGCUCGUUGACAUGUUCCUCGUCCCCCUUUGCUUCCGCUCUGUGGGCGCAGAUGCAGCGUGGCGUGGUCACGAGCUUGUCCCACAAGAACGCCCAUCUCCUAAAGGCUCGUGACGACCUUUGCCUUUUCCUUCUCCCCUUCGAGCUGUCUCUUUUUCGUCAAAUUACAUGGGGAAUCAUUGUCGAUCUUGUCACGUGAUCUGACCGAAUUUUCUUAUCUGACAUUUUUUCAGAUGUGGCAACCUUGGGCGAUUGGUUCAUUGGAUUCUUCAAACCGAUGCCUUUUUGAACACGCAAGGUGCCCUCAUGAUUUAUUUCAAGAUGGUAAGCUACUCACGCUCUUGCUGUUCCCAGGAGCAUUGCAUUCACCAAUCUAACGCCCUCAUUGUUGGUUUUGGCUCCAGCUAUUUGAGCUAAUGCAGAAGCGUGAUGUGUUUGCCAAUCCUUGUGUCGUUGGUAUCUUCAUGCCGAUCGCAAGAAGUUAGUCUCCUAUUUUAUGGUAAUAUUAUGAUUUUUUUAUGCAAUUCCAGAUGCUAGACAAGGAACGUGUGUAGGCUGAGGAUUCUAAGGUAGCCACCUUGUUUUCCUCACAUGGGGAUAUUGAUGUAUGAUGCGGAAGCAGGAAGUGUUGUCCAUGGCCUUUUGAUUGACACAAAAGUUGUUCAAUACUGCAGUAGGGACAUGCCUGAUUCACACAAUUCCAAUCAUUGCCUUUUGAAAGUUCCGUUCCUGUAGUAUUUGAGUUUAUGUCUACACUUACAUGAAGAGCAUCAGGUAUUUGUAAACCAAUAUUUUGCUUAGAAAGGUUCCUACAAAAAAAGAAUAACCUUAAGAAAGCAGAGCCGUUUGUGUGCUUCAUAUAAGCUAUAUACAUGCCAUCUCACCAAGCACUGCUAACAUGUUCUUUUUUCAAGAGAGCAUAUAUGUUUCUUUUUUUGUCACCAUGUCUUCACGGGCGCCCGUCACCCACACGCUCCUCACUUCCUAGGUACAUAUUCUUCCUGCAUGUACCUCAGUGCAUGAUUUUCCUAAUCAGAUGAAAGGAUAAGAACUGUACAUGGCGCCAUUCACUGGAAAUGCCUUCUCUUACACCUUGUGGUUAGUUUUUCAGUUCUGCACAUCAAGCACUAUCAAAGUUUAUCCUAAUUACGCCAACGGCCUCCCUAAUGAAAGACUUAGCCAUUUGUAAUUGAUCUGGUGUAAUUUACUACUUUAUUGUUGGAUAUGAAGUUGUUUUGCUAUAAAUACCUCACAUUCAGUAUGCAAUGUGCCACUAGAACUAUACGACAUCACAGAACAUGAAGUACUCCCUGCUAGGCACAACCAUACACUCUGUUAUUCUGAAUAUUUUGAUUUGGUCACAGAGAUUUGUUAUUUUAGUGAUCUAUUUAUUCGAUUUCAUAAUUAUGGUUUCUCUUACUAAUACUGCCAUAAGAUAAGAUUGUAAACUAAAUCUGACUGUCGUGUCAUAUUUUUAUCAUCUAAUUACUAAUUAAACUGACAGUAAGACAUUUUAUACCCUUUUGUAGAUGCUGCAGACUUUGCAAGUGUUCAGAGAAAUGAUGUGCUAAUUAAGGGGUUUAGGAGCACUAAUAAAGAAUCCGUGUUGCUGAACUUUUUGUACCACUAAUGAGUAAAGUGAGUUCUUUAUAGUUUGCUUCAAUUUAGUGUAGGAAGAUAUCGGAUGCAAAAGCCCAAUUCGGUGCAGCCAUCAUUUGUUUGUCGAUGAAUUUAUUUGUUUGUUGAAAUAGAGGACGUUGAAUUGUGAGGGUUUUGAGCCGUAUUUAUCGGGCCCGUAGCAACGCACGGGCAUGUUUAAUAAUAUUUCC